This 256-nucleotide ribosomal RNA is filed under the name uncultured bacterium. RNAcentral's name for it is "partial 16S ribosomal RNA". It matches the Rfam family "Bacterial small subunit ribosomal RNA", at positions 524 to 777 of the family's 1533-position model. The record is from RNAcentral.
UACGGAGGGGGCUAGCGUUGUUCGGAAUUACUGGGCGUAAAGCGCACGUAGGCGGCUUUGUAAGUUAGAGGUGAAAGCCCGGGGCUCAACUCCGGGAAUUGCCUUUAAGACUGCAUCGCUAGAAUUGUGGAGAGGUAAGUGGGAAUUCCGAGUGUAGAGGUGAAAUUCGUAGAUAUCAGGAAGAACACCCGUGGCUAAGGCGGCUCUCUAGUACGGUACUGACGCUGAGACGCGAAAGCGUGGGGAGCGAACGAGG